This 984-nucleotide long non-coding RNA is filed under the name Sorghum bicolor (sorghum). Its description in RNAcentral is "long non-coding RNA (SBIC_LNC001757)". Lineage: Eukaryota; Viridiplantae; Streptophyta; Magnoliopsida; Poales; Poaceae. The record is from RNAcentral.
UGGGCCCCGCCUUGGGAGUGGUGCUUUUUUGUGAAGCGGCCAUGGCGUGGAUUGGAUGAUCACGCGGCCGCUGGCCCCCGAGGUCUCGAUCCCGACGACGCCCACCGGACCACCGGCAUCUCGCCGCUGCUCGCCCGCCGCCGCAUCCUCGCCUCUCAUGCCGAUCCACGGCGGUCCACGCAGGCUCGUGAGCACCGGGUGAAGGUCUCGACGCCGGCGAGCUAUAUGUCGAUCCGGAAGAAGCUCGCGCGCGACGUCGUCGAAGUACGUGGACACCGAAGGCGGUGCUGUCGAUCGAGGAAGCCGAGGGGGGGGGGGGGGGGGGGGGGGGGCGGCUGAUCGAGGGAGCAUCGCCGGAGGAUUACGACACCGACGCCAACGGCAUUAUUGUUGACUGUGGCCGCGCGAAAGUCCCAGCUCCCAACUGGAGCGCAUGCACAAGCACAAGCUGGGCCGGCAUCAUCUUCCAUGGCCGCGCAACGCUGCACCAGGAGUGCAGGACGCUUCAGGACACUGGAACUGGACAUGGAGGACAGCUGCUUCCACUUCCACGGUAGCCAACGGGUACUUUCCUGCUGCACUGCAAGAUUGUAUAUUCUUUCUACUUUCAGCUACAACUUUUCUGCCAAACAAACAAUUAUAUCUAAUAUUAUAUUAUUAACUUUAUGUAUUAUAAUGAAUCACCUCUUGAUUCUUAUGCUUUAAUGGUCUUGUUUUGUUUCAGGUUUUUUAGACGAAGGAAGCUUUAGUAUUAACAAAAACAAUAAAGUUUGAGGAUCCAUUGGAAGGCUUGAGAGGAAAAUAGGUAAUAAAAGGCCAAACUAGAUGAAGCAUGCAUGCAGUCACUUUAUUUUGCAUCUUGGUUCGGUGACAUGGGUUACACGCGAUGUGAUAGGAAAACUAAACCGGCUUAUACAGAAUACAGAAGAGAAAUAGAUAGUAGAAGAACACAAUUUAUCUGAAGACAAGCUAUUGAGUAUCAUG